Molecule: ribosomal RNA, 2491 nt
Filed under: Escherichia coli
Lineage: Bacteria; Pseudomonadati; Pseudomonadota; Gammaproteobacteria; Enterobacterales; Enterobacteriaceae
Description: bacterial LSU rRNA
Rfam family: Bacterial large subunit ribosomal RNA
Source: RNAcentral
UUCGUCGGCAGCGUCAGAUGUGUAUAAGAGACAGUGCUGUGAGCUCGAUGAGUAGGGCGGGACACGUGGUAUCCUGUCUGAAUAUGGGGGGACCAUCCUCCAAGGCUAAAUACUCCUGACUGACCGAUAGUGAACCAGUACCGUGAGGGAAAGGCGAAAAGAACCCCGGCGAGGGGAGUGAAAAAGAACCUGAAACCGUGUACGUACAAGCAGUGGGAGCACGCUUAGGCGUGUGACUGCGUACCUUUUGUAUAAUGGGUCAGCGACUUAUAUUCUGUAGCAAGGUUAACCGAAUAGGGGAGCCGAAGGGAAACCGAGUCUUAACUGGGCGUUAAGUUGCAGGGUAUAGACCCGAAACCCGGUGAUCUAGCCAUGGGCAGGUUGAAGGUUGGGUAACACUAACUGGAGGACCGAACCGACUAAUGUUGAAAAAUUAGCGGAUGACUUGUGGCUGGGGGUGAAAGGCCAAUCAAACCGGGAGAUAGCUGGUUCUCCCCGAAAGCUAUUUAGGUAGCGCCUCGUGAAUUCAUCUCCGGGGGUAGAGCACUGUUUCGGCAAGGGGGUCAUCCCGACUUACCAACCCGAUGCAAACUGCGAAUACCGGAGAAUGUUAUCACGGGAGACACACGGCGGGUGCUAACGUCCGUCGUGAAGAGGGAAACAACCCAGACCGCCAGCUAAGGUCCCAAAGUCAUGGUUAAGUGGGAAACGAUGUGGGAAGGCCCAGACAGCCAGGAUGUUGGCUUAGAAGCAGCCAUCAUUUAAAGAAAGCGUAAUAGCUCACUGGUCGAGUCGGCCUGCGCGGAAGAUGUAACGGGGCUAAACCAUGCACCGAAGCUGCGGCAGCGACGCUUAUGCGUUGUUGGGUAGGGGAGCGUUCUGUAAGCCUGUGAAGGUGUGCUGUGAGGCAUGCUGGAGGUAUCAGAAGUGCGAAUGCUGACAUAAGUAACGAUAAAGCGGGUGAAAAGCCCGCUCGCCGGAAGACCAAGGGUUCCUGUCCAACGUUAAUCGGGGCAGGGUGAGUCGACCCCUAAGGCGAGGCCGAAAGGCGUAGUCGAUGGGAAACAGGUUAAUAUUCCUGUACUUGGUGUUACUGCGAAGGGGGGACGGAGAAGGCUAUGUUGGCCGGGCGACGGUUGUCCCGGUUUAAGCGUGUAGGCUGGUUUUCCAGGCAAAUCCGGAAAAUCAAGGCUGAGGCGUGAUGACGAGGCACUACGGUGCUGAAGCAACAAAUGCCCUGCUUCCAGGAAAAGCCUCUAAGCAUCAGGUAACAUCAAAUCGUACCCCAAACCGACACAGGUGGUCAGGUAGAGAAUACCAAGGCGCUUGAGAGAACUCGGGUGAAGGAACUAGGCAAAAUGGUGCCGUAACUUCGGGAGAAGGCACGCUGAUAUGUAGGUGAAGUCCCUCGCGGAUGGAGCUGAAAUCAGUCGAAGAUACCAGCUGGCUGCAACUGUUUAUUAAAAACACAGCACUGUGCAAACACGAAAGUGGACGUAUACGGUGUGACGCCUGCCCGGUGCCGGAAGGUUAAUUGAUGGGGUCAGCGCAAGCGAAGCUCUUGAUCGAAGCCCCGGUAAACGGCGGCCGUAACUAUAACGGUCCUAAGGUAGCGAAAUUCCUUGUCGGGUAAGUUCCGACCUGCACGAAUGGCGUAAUGAUGGCCAGGCUGUCUCCACCCGAGACUCAGUGAAAUUGAACUCGCUGUGAAGAUGCAGUGUACCCGCGGCAAGACGGAAAGACCCCGUGAACCUUUACUAUAGCUUGACACUGAACAUUGAGCCUUGAUGUGUAGGAUAGGUGGGAGGCUUAGAAGUGUGGACGCCAGUCUGCAUGGAGCCGACCUUGAAAUACCACCCUUUAAUGUUUGAUGUUCUAACGUUGACCCGUAAUCCGGGUUGCGGACAGUGUCUGGUGGGUAGUUUGACUGGGGCGGUCUCCUCCUAAAGAGUAACGGAGGAGCACGAAGGUUGGCUAAUCCUGGUCGGACAUCAGGAGGUUAGUGCAAUGGCAUAAGCCAGCUUGACUGCGAGCGUGACGGCGCGAGCAGGUGCGAAAGCAGGUCAUAGUGAUCCGGUGGUUCUGAAUGGAAGGGCCAUCGCUCAACGGAUAAAAGGUACUCCGGGGAUAACAGGCUGAUACCGCCCAAGAGUUCAUAUCGACGGCGGUGUUUGGCACCUCGAUGUCGGCUCAUCACAUCCUGGGGCUGAAGUAGGUCCCAAGGGUAUGGCUGUUCGCCAUUUAAAGUGGUACGCGAGCUGGGUUUAGAACGUCGUGAGACAGUUCGGUCCCUAUCUGCCGUGGGCGCUGGAGAACUGAGGGGGGCUGCUCCUAGUACGAGAGGACCGGAGUGGACGCAUCACUGGUGUUCGGGUUGUCAUGCCAAUGGCACUGCCCGGUAGCUAAAUGCGGAAGAGAUAAGUGCUGAAAGCAUCUAAGCACGAAACUUGCCCCGAGAUGAGUUCUCCCUGCUGUCUCUUAUACACAUCUG